Molecule: ribosomal RNA, 253 nt
Filed under: uncultured bacterium
Lineage: Bacteria
Description: partial 16S ribosomal RNA
Rfam family: Bacterial small subunit ribosomal RNA
Source: RNAcentral
UACGUAGGUGACAAGCGUUGUCCGGAUUUACUGGGCGUAAAGGGCGCGUAGGCGGCCUGCUAAGUCGGGCGUGAAAUCCCUGGGCUCAACCCAGGAACUGCGUCCGAUACUGGUUGGCUUGAAUCCGGGAGAGGGAUGCGGAAUUCCAGGUGUAGCGGUGAAAUGCGUAGAUAUCUGGAGGAACACCGGUGGCGAAGGCGGCAUCCUGGACCGGCAUUGACGCUGAGGCGCGAAAGCCAGGGGAGCAAACGGG